CUACGGGAGGCAGCAGUGGGGAAUAUUGCACAAUGGGCGCAAGCCUGAUGCAGCAACGCCGCGUGAACGAAGAAGGUUUUCGGAUCGUAAAGUUCUUUUCUUGGGGAAGAAACCAUGACGGUACCCAAGGAAUAAGCACCGGCUAACUACGUGCCAGCAGCCGCGGUAAUACGUAGGGUGCAAGCGUUAUCCGGAAUCACUGGGCGUAAAGGGUGCGUAGGCGGUUUUACAAGUCAGAAGUGAAAGGCAAUGGCUCAACCAUUGUAAGCUUUUGAAACUGUAAGACUUGAAUGCAGGAGAGGUAAGUGGAAUUCCUAGUGUAGCGGUGAAAUGCGUAGAUAUUAGGAGGAACACCAGUGGCGAAGGCGACUUACUGGACUGUUAUUGACGCUGAGGCACGAAAGCGUGGGGAGCGAACAGGAUUAGAUACCCCAGUAGUC
This 440-nucleotide ribosomal RNA is filed under the name uncultured bacterium. RNAcentral's name for it is "partial 16S ribosomal RNA". It matches the Rfam family "Bacterial small subunit ribosomal RNA", at positions 339 to 795 of the family's 1533-position model. The record is from RNAcentral.